AGAGUUUGAUCCUGGCUCAGAGUGAACGCUGGCGGCGUGCUUAACACAUGCAAGUCGAACGAGAACGGACUAAAGCUUGCUUUAGUUGUCAGCUAAGUGGCGCACGGGUGAGUAAUAUAUAGUCAAUUUGCCUCUUACUAAGGGAUAAUUGUUGGAAACGACUUGUAAUACCUUAUAUGCCUAUAAUACAAAAGUAUGCUAGGGAAAGAUUUAUCGGUAAGAGAUAAGACUGUACAGUAUCAGUUAGUUGGUGAGGUAAUGGCUCACCAAGACAAUGACGCUUAACUGGUUUGAGAGGAUGAUCAGUCACACUGGAACUGAGACACGGUCCAGACUCCUACGGGAGGCAGCAGUGGGGAAUAUUGCACAAUGGAGGAAACUCUGAUGCAGCAACGCCGCGUGGAGGAUGACACUUUUCGGAGCGUAAACUCCUUUUAUAUGAGAAGAUAAUGACGGUAUCAUAUGAAUAAGCACCGGCUAACUUCGUGCCAGCAGCCGCGGUAAUACGAGGGGUGCAAGCGUUACUCGGAAUCACUGGGCGUAAAGAGCAUGUAGGCGGGUAAUUAAGUUGGAAGUGAAAUCCUAUGGCUUAACCAUAGAACUGCUUCCAAAACUGAUUACCUAGAGUAUGGGAGAGGUAGAUGGAAUUUCUGGUGUAGGGGUAAAAUCCGUAGAGAUCAGAAGGAAUACCGAUUGCGAAGGUGAUCUACUAGAACAU
This 718-nucleotide ribosomal RNA is filed under the name uncultured Campylobacterota bacterium. Its description in RNAcentral is "bacterial SSU rRNA". It matches the Rfam family "Bacterial small subunit ribosomal RNA", at positions 8 to 737 of the family's 1533-position model. The record is from RNAcentral. Lineage: Bacteria; Pseudomonadati; Campylobacterota.